This 301-nucleotide ribosomal RNA is filed under the name uncultured bacterium. Its description in RNAcentral is "partial 16S ribosomal RNA". It matches the Rfam family "Bacterial small subunit ribosomal RNA", at positions 509 to 807 of the family's 1533-position model. The record is from RNAcentral.
CAGUCGCCACGGUAAAACGAAGGGGGCUAGCGUUGUUCGGAAUUACUGGGCGUAAAGCGCACGUAGGCGGACAUUUAAGUCAGGGGUGAAAUCCCGGGGCUCAACCCCGGAACUGCCUUUGAUACUGGGUGUCUAGAGUAUGGAAGAGGUGAGUGGAAUUCCGAGUGAAGAGGUGAAAUUCGUAGAUAUUCGGAGGAACACCAGUGGCGAAGGCGGCUCACUGGUCCAUUACUGACGCUGAGGUGCGAAAGCGUGGGGAGCAAACAGGAUUAGAUACCCGCGUAGUCCCUGUCUCUUAUAC